This is a long non-coding RNA of Anser brachyrhynchus (Pink-footed goose), 1839 nucleotides long. The record is from Ensembl. NCBI's taxonomy places the organism in Eukaryota, Metazoa, Chordata, Aves, Anseriformes, Anatidae.
UGGUCUCCUUUUCUUGGCCUCUCCAGUGCUUAGCAGACGAUUAAUUUUCCCCGUUUCUGUCACUAUCCCCAGCUGAUUGUGAACCCUGUGAUAACAGCAGCCGAGCUCGCGUGCUCUGCAUCUCAGAGCUGCAGGACAGGCCGGUGGUCUGCAGCCAGAGCCGCCUGCCUGGUGGCCUUGACCACCCCCAGCCAAGCAGUGCGGUGGCAGAACAGCACUUGGAUGGAAGCCUACGGAGAAGUCCUGUGUGCUGCAAGAAGUACAGUUGGUGAUUCAGCUGGAAGUGCUUUUUAGUAAUGAACGCAUGUCCCGGGCCUGGGCUGAUGCCAACACUGUGAUUGUUGUUGGAAGUUAACAAAGAUGCAAAGCCCUUUGUGCAGGAGCUGAAGUGAUAAUCCAGAUCUCCUGGCCUCAGCCCACGGGGGGUGAUCGCUGCCUUCCUGGGAAGGGUUUUUGCCAGUCCCUAUCGGAUGGAUCGCCCGCGCUUCCUGUGCCACGGCAGCAUGUGACCCAAUGGAGCCAGAACCAGGAGCCCGAAGACCACGCUGCGGGUGCUGAGAGCUGCCUUUCCUGUCUGCUUCAGUCCUAUGCUCAGCCACAGCGAGGUUAAGUGCAGCAGAACAGAACUGCCUAAAGUGGAAAUGGGCUGGGACCGGAGAGCGGAGACUUGCCGCCCUAGAGACCUCCACUGGGCUGCGGCGAGAGGAGCGUGGGACCUCUGUUUCCAUCAAACCUGGUGCUGCCGCAAGCCCAGCACGAGGGAGGAAGGAGCCUGCCCUGCCUUCAGAGGAUGCUCUGAACUGAUGCUGGUCAGACAUGGGGUUGUUAUAGGAUGGUGAGUGCUGCUGUGGUGCCUGCGGUCAGGAUUCAUCUGGGACCAGGAUGUUCAGGCAGAGCUGGAGGGGAAAGGAUGCCCAAACAGCCCUACAUUCACAAUUGUCAUGGCGCUUGCCUGAGCUCUGACCCCUCCUUCCAGCUCUGAACCAGGGUACAAAGCCUCAGAAAUUCUCCUGGAAACCGUUUUCACCAUUUGCAAUCCACCAUAGUGUCUGUGUCAGGCCCUAGGGUGAUUUUAAGACCUGCAUGGGCUGCCCAUCUCUGUCCAAUGCUGUAGUUCCAGCUGUCUUAAAGCUCCCAAAUGAGUUGAACUUGUUUGUGAAAUGUGCCCUGGGCUCUAGACCCUGAUGUUCCCAAGGGAGAGCAAACAAGGAGGUGAAAGCUGGACCCUGGAUCUGAAGUGAAAGCUGCCUGCAGCAGAUACCUGUGUGCUUCCUCCCUCAGGCUCCCAAGAAAGUUUCCUUUCCUUCACAAAGGGGAGCAGCUUGCUCUACACUGCCAGCUGGAGCUUCCUUCCCAUGGGGGAAGCUGAGACACUGAUACCUGAUGUUGAGGGCAAUUUCAAAUCAUCAGCCCGAGCACCGCUCUUAACGCACGCGACCUUCAGCACUUGGCGUAAGAGUUGGCAUUGCAAUAUGUUACAGGCGUGGACGGUGGCAGAGUGAUCAAAAUCCACUGAGCCAAGCAGUAGUUCCCUCUGACCCCAUUUGCGCAGCCUGUUUCUUCUGAUCUUUCCUCCGGACUGAGGCCCCAGGGAGUGCUAUGGAAUAUCAUGGAGUGGUGGCAGGGCUGAGUGGAUAAAGCUGUGCGGGGUGUGUGUUGGGGCGUGGAUUGCCGGUUUGUAGGGUAGAGAGUGUUUUGGUUUUUUUUUUCCAUUUAUACAGCACCUUGCAUGCCGAGAUCCUUGUCUAAGACUCGAGCUCCUGGGCGCUGUGACCCAAUGAGUUAUAACCGUGUCAUCUUUGAAGUGCUGCUCCCUGUUUUUCUGCCUCACCUCCUCGC